RNAcentral lists this long non-coding RNA (1041 nucleotides) under Struthio camelus australis. RNAcentral's name for it is "lncRNA (ENSSCUG00000009495.1)". Lineage: Eukaryota; Metazoa; Chordata; Aves; Struthioniformes; Struthionidae. The record is from RNAcentral.
AAAAAUGUUUGGGAAGACCCACCUGUUUGUUUGCUGAUCUUCUUUGAUGGCAUUAAAGAAGGUAACAUUUGCCUCUUGGAGGAGAAACAAAUAGCUGUGGUGGGCUAGCACUGUUGUUGCUCUUGCUUUGGGAGCCCAAUCCUGAUUCCUUCUACGCUAACACAUGCAAAAAAGGGAGAGAGAAGAAAGUAACCUUUGAGGAGACUGCCACCUUCAUUUCUGUUGAUAUUUUAAGCUUUCUAGAAAAUCUACCUGUUUGUUGAGAGAGAAGAAAAAGUGACAACUGAUCUGGAUAUUGAGGUAGCUCUUUAGUUCCCCUGGGGUGGAAUAGCACAAAGAAGUCUUAAUGGCUAUCUGGAAAAUGAACUGAGAAUUUCCCCAAGACCACGAGUUCACCUGGCCGUGAAAUCAAAGACAAGAAGGAAGGCUGGAGCAGGAGACACUCUGCUGAUUCCUGGCUGGGAAGAUAGUGUCUAGGAGACUGGUCUUGUAGCUUGAUGGUAGACUCUGUGUGGCAAAACUCCAUCCUGAUGAAGUGCAACUUGCGCCCAGUGGAUGACUGAUGCAUAGGAUUUAAGAGCUCUCUCCUCCCUUUCCAUCCCUGGCCCUCACGUUUCCUGCAUGAGGUGUCUGCCUUAGGCGAGUUAGUCACUGUGCGAUUUCACUUGUGAGGUGCUGGAAGAUUCUGUGCUGGAUUCAGAAAUGCUGCAGAUACUUGACACGCUGAAGAAGUCAAGAACACAGCUCAGAAAAUGGGUUCUGGACAGCAUCGCCAGUGGCAUCGUGUUGCUUGACUCCCCAGGAGAUGAAGAGCAACAGGCCGGGGAGUCGCUUCACAGCAGAAUUUCCCACAGGAAGGGAGGUGUCUGCGCUGACCUUGUGCUGAUGAAAUCCCCGACUGAUCCCGACAAGGUUCAGCUCUUGGAAUAUUAGCAGCAAAGUCGACAUCCUCCGGACUCUGUGGAGCAUGACUGGGAACAGCACGAGCUGCGGAGCUCAGGAGAAGGAAACGCAACAAAAUAAAUACCUCCUUUUCUUGCA